Molecule: long non-coding RNA, 875 nt
Organism: Eutrema salsugineum
Lineage: Eukaryota; Viridiplantae; Streptophyta; Magnoliopsida; Brassicales; Brassicaceae
Exons: 3
Source: RefSeq, a predicted model, not a curated record
UUCACAAUCUCCUGGAUUUUAUCAGUAUACUCUUGAAUCUUUUCUUUCACGAACCCGGAUUUUGCACGAACACGAUUCCUUCUUUUUUUUUUCUUUCUUCACGAACCCGAUCUUUACACGAACGUUUCUGCAGCGGAAUUGGUUUCGAGCACAAAGUUUGCACGAAACGAUUUCUCUAAAAUAGAACACUCAGGACCUUGGCUCUGAUACUAUGUUGGAAUAUUGAGAUUUUUCUUAAAACUUCUCUCUUUAUUAAUUUUUUUUUUCUUUCUCUCUUUGAUAGAUAUUGUGUUUCUGAUAUAGAAUACAUUAAACCUUAAUUCUAAAGUUGUAAUUCUAAACAAGAAUAGUAAAUGACUAGUUCUUCAUGAUUUCCUUUUUACCUAAUUUCCUUUCUCCAUUUGCUCUUUCUUGAUGAUUUCCUUUUUGUUUGCUUUUCUCCUUUUCUUCUUUUCUUCUUCUUUGAUUUUCCUUUUUACUUAGUAUUCCUUUUUCUUUGACAAAUGAAUCUGUUCCAAUAAACCCUAGAGAGGUCGAUUAUGAAGUUUGGUUAUUCCUCUUACUAAAUUCGAUCUGUGUUUUAAACAACUGGAAAAAUAGCAAUGUCGAAGCCGAUCCUGCUUGUCUUUCUACUGAUUAUACUUAUAGUCACCUCUCAGUUUGAAUGGAGACAACCACUUGUUGAGCUGAGACGAUAGUACUGAAGUUAUCAUCUGCAAGAACCAUAUCAGAAGCUUCUUUUGCAACCUGAAAUUGUACAACAUCAUACAGUAACUGAUGCAGUAACCAGCUUGUAACAGAAACAAUAGCAAAUCUCAGACAGGGAGCAAGCUGUGAAAGAGAAGGUACUGAUUCCAAACUCUUUUAUUAAAAAA